Molecule: ribosomal RNA, 494 nt
Filed under: uncultured bacterium
Lineage: Bacteria
Description: partial 16S ribosomal RNA
Rfam family: Bacterial small subunit ribosomal RNA
Source: RNAcentral
GACGAACGCUGGCGGCGUGCUUAACACAUGCAAGUCGAACGGUGAAGCGCCUUCCUUUUUGGUGGGUGUGGAUGAGCGGCGAACGGGUGAGUAACACGUGAGUAACCUGCCCCCUUCUUCUGGAUAACCGCAUGAAAGUGUGGCUAAUACGGGAUAUUCUGGGUCUGUCGCAUGAUGGGUCUGGGAAAGAUAUUGUUUCGGUGGGGGAUGGGCUCGCGGCCUAUCAGCUUGUUGGUGGGGUGAUGGCCUACCAAGGCGGUGACGGGUAGCCGGCCUGAGAGGGUGGACGGUCGCACUGGGACUGAGACACGGCCCAGACUCCUACGGGAGGCAGCAGUGGGGAAUAGUGCACAAUGGGCGCAAGCCUGAUGCAGCGACGCCGCGUGAGGGAUGGAGGCCUUCGGGUUGUGAACCUCUUUCGCCAGUGAAGCAGGCCUGCCUCGUUUGUGGGUGGGUUGACGGUAGCUGGAUAAGAAGCGCCGGCUAACUACGUG